GUGAAUCAUCGAAUUUUUGAACGCAUAUUGCACUCUCUGGUAUUCCUGAGAGUAGGCCUGUUUUAUGGUAAUUUAAAACAAUCUUUAACCAAUUUUUUUGGUCAAGGGAAAUGAGGUCUCCGCGUUUAUAGCGGUAGCUUGAAAUAAAUGGUCAAGUCUCAUCUUAGUCUAGACGCGUAAUA
Molecule: unclassified non-coding RNA, 182 nt
Filed under: Ambisporaceae sp.
Lineage: Eukaryota; Fungi; Glomeromycota; Glomeromycetes; Archaeosporales; Ambisporaceae
Description: partial internal transcribed spacer 2
Rfam family: 5.8S ribosomal RNA (bases 1-71)
Source: RNAcentral